UACGUAGGGACCGAGCGUUGUCCGGAAUCAUUGGGCGUAAAGAGCGUGUAGGCGGCCUUUUAAGUCCUGCGUGAAAUCCUGCGGCUCAACCGCAGACGGUCGUGGGAAACUGGAAGGCUAGAGUGCGGGAGAGGAGAGUGGAAUUCCCGGUGUAGCGGUGAAAUGCGCAGAUAUCUGGAGGAACACCGGUGGCGAAGGCGGCAUCCUGGACCAAUUCUGACACUGAGGAGCGAAAGCCAGGGGAGCAAACGGG
Molecule: ribosomal RNA, 253 nt
Filed under: uncultured bacterium
Lineage: Bacteria
Description: partial 16S ribosomal RNA
Rfam family: Bacterial small subunit ribosomal RNA
Source: RNAcentral